Molecule: long non-coding RNA, 228 nt
Filed under: Ailuropoda melanoleuca (giant panda)
Lineage: Eukaryota; Metazoa; Chordata; Mammalia; Carnivora; Ursidae
Description: lncRNA (ENSAMEG00000028118.1)
Source: RNAcentral
AUGGUAACUUUUGUACCCAUUUUAUUCCAGGUACUCACUGUGAUUUGUAUUUUUAGGACUGCAGUUGUCUGGCUAGUCAAGCCAUCCUGCUGGGUAUACUGCUCAAAAGAGAAGGCCCCAACUUCAUCACCAGGGAAGGUACCAUUUCUGAUCACAUUGAGAGAGUCUAUAGAAGAGCUGGCAGCAAAAAGCUUUGGUCGGUUGUGCGCCGUGCAGCAAGUCUUUUAA